GCCACGACGGCCCCACACGGAUGCCAGCAGUGGGGAGACUGAGUGAAGGCCCCCGCCUGCUGCCUGGGAAGGGCCCUGGGCUGGGGGAAGGCAAGAGCUGACCAGGAGAUUGUUCUGGGUCAGAAGCACGUGAGCCCACCAGAGCAGUGGAGGGUGCUGAGUGCCUAAAGGGCCCCCCAGUGUGUGUCAUGAAUGGAGCUCUCCAAGCCCACCCUCCCGGACCCUUGGGAGCAGUGGCCUGCCAUUUCUCGCUGGGUCUUCCCAGCUGAGCUAAGAGGGUCUCUGAAGGACGGAGCCUGUGGGGAUGGUGGAACGUGCCCUGCACGCCCAGGAAGUGAGGAUUCCUCUCCUAGCUCGGGAGCCAAAAGAGCAAGAGCCUGGCUAACCUGUUAGAAGUCACAGUAGGGAAAGAGGAGACCGGAUGUCUCGUCCUCCAGCGCGAUCUCCAGAGCUGAAGGUGGCGUGUCCGGAGCUGGUGAGGUUCCCGACGAUGGGCAAGGCUGGAGUGCGGAGAGGAUUUGAGGACAACAACUACAGAGUCCCCUUAGCAGAGCUGUGGAGUGUGACAAUGGUGUUUGUAUUCACAUAUCAAACGCCAUUAUCACACUAAAUAGCUACUGCUAGGCAACGCUCCCACCGGAUACCCACCUUGGCACCUGUCUGGUGCAGGCAAGAGAGGUUCAUCUGCUCUCGGGGCUCUGGACAUUCACAAUCACUGGGUCAAUGGCAGUAUGUCUGUGCUGGAAACAACCUGUCUAUCUGGAUCCAGCUGUCGCCUGCUGAUGUAAUGUCAUACCCUAACAGAUGGUGAACUCUUUUGUCAUUUUUUCCCAAGCCAAUAAAAUGUCAGCAGGGACCCUCAGCUCAGGGGGAGGCACGUGGGACCCUCUCACUCCAGGAAUGGGGGGAUGAAACAAGCAGCCAGGAAAGCGCUAGGUAAAGAACACUACAAGCAAUCGAGGUGAUUCGAACUGCCCACAGAGAGCUACCCCAGGAAGGUGGGUGGGUCCUCCCUGCCCCACCAGAAACAAAGGCACUUCGGUGUGGCUUCCCUGCCUUUUCAGAGAGUCUAGCGUGUGUUCGGCACGUCUACUGAUCUUCCUCGGCGACCAAGCUGAUUCCCGAAUGUGUGUGCUAGGUUCGGCUCCCUUCUGUCUCCGUGAAUCUCCAUGAGAAACUCACACCUCAGCCUGUCCCAGCAGUGGAAGCUCACGCAGUUGCUGGGGCAGUCGGAUCCCUUGGGUGGUCUGGCUUGGUGCAAAGGAGCUCUGGGAGUGAGUGCUCAGAGCAGGGCCUGGGUGAAAGCCGGAGACUCUUGCCCUGGGGUCACCUGAAACCUCACCCCACAGAUAGGCCUUCUUAAAACCAAGCAGUUGCUUAGUUCAACUGGUUUAAAAAUCAACAUCUGCUGCGAGCGUUCAGUUCCUCCAAGGACUAUGUGAGAUCCCGGGACAACAGCUCCUGGAAACAGCCCGGAACCUUGGGGGCAGCGGCUUCGUGGAGAUGGGGGAGGAGCAGCUCAGAAAGGGAGGGUGAGAACAAUGACACAACUCAGGGGCCGUCAUCAAAUUUGCUGCGUCUAUUCUCCACGAUGAGAAAUAAAAUGAUGAAGAGAUAACAAAGUCA
Molecule: long non-coding RNA, 1626 nt
Organism: Echinops telfairi (small Madagascar hedgehog)
Lineage: Eukaryota; Metazoa; Chordata; Mammalia; Afrosoricida; Tenrecidae
Exons: 3
Source: RefSeq, a predicted model, not a curated record